Molecule: ribosomal RNA, 1044 nt
Filed under: Triticum aestivum (bread wheat)
Lineage: Eukaryota; Viridiplantae; Streptophyta; Magnoliopsida; Poales; Poaceae
Description: partial small subunit ribosomal RNA
Source: RNAcentral
AUGUGCAUCCCGAAGAAGGAAGGUGGAAUGGGAUUCAGAGACUUACACAGCUUUAAUCUUGCUAUGUUAGCAAAGCAGUGUUGGCGACUGAUCCAAGAUCCAGACUCUUUGUGUGCGCGUGUUGUCAGUGCAAAGUAUUACCCCGAUGGUAACAUUCUUAAUGUUGGCCCUAAGAAAGGCUCUUCUUAUACUUGGUAGAGUAUAGUAUCAGGAAUUCAAACAUUUAAGAGGGGGUUUAUUUGGAGAGUUGGGACAGGUUCUAAUAUCAAUAUUUGGCUAGACCCAUGGAUACCGUCAAGUGCCUCGUGCAAAGUUAUAACACCGAGGGGGCAGAUUAUGUUGUCCAAAGUUGAAGAGCUCAUAGACCCGCACUCGGGCACAUGGGAUGAAGCCUUAUUGCAGUCCGUGUUUAAUCCAGUCGAUGUGGAAAUGAUAAUAAGGAUCCCUCUUAAUGUGAGUAUUGUUGACGAUUUUGUGGCAUGGCAGUUUACACGGUAAGGAACCUUCUCAGUCCGUUCAGCAUACCAUACAGAGUUCAAUCAUCAGUUUGGCUCACGCGCUUCUCCUACUGAUGGAGAAGGAGGGUCUGUAGUAAAUGGCAUUUGGAAACAUUCGUGGAAACUCCGAGUUCCUGGCAAGAUUAAGCAUUUUGCUUGGAAGGUGCUCAGGGGCGUUCUUCCAUGCUAUGGAGUUCUCACGAAACGUCAUAUCCCGGUAUCUGGUUAAUGCCCGGUUUGCAAAGUUGGGUUUGAAGAUAUUCAGCAUUGUUUAUUCUUGUGUUGCCGUGCUAUGGAAGUGUGGAAAGAAUUAGGCCUGAAUGCGGUGAUCAACCAAGCAGCAAUGGAGGACCACUCAGGAUCAGUUACCAUGGAGAUUUUAUUGCGAAACCACUCGUCAAUUGGUGAUCUUCCAGUGGCUGAGUUGAUUACGGUGGCUGCGUGGUACAUUUGGUGGCAAUGUCGCCAGUUUGCAAAGGGGGAAACUAUUUCAGAUGCACACCAUUCAGCUAUUUCAAUUAAGGUCCUAGCGACGAACUAUGUGUGA